RNAcentral lists this non-coding RNA (22 nucleotides) under Arabidopsis thaliana (thale cress). Lineage: Eukaryota; Viridiplantae; Streptophyta; Magnoliopsida; Brassicales; Brassicaceae. The record is from RNAcentral.
UCAACCAACCUACUCGACCACC